Molecule: ribosomal RNA, 285 nt
Filed under: uncultured bacterium
Lineage: Bacteria
Description: partial 16S ribosomal RNA
Rfam family: Bacterial small subunit ribosomal RNA
Source: RNAcentral
GAUGAACGCUAGCGGCAGGCCUAAUACAUGCAAGUCGAACGAUAGUUGGGGCUUGCCCCAACGAAAAGUGGCGCACGGGUGCGUAACGCGUAUGCAACCUACCUUAAUCAGGGGGAUAGCCCGAAGAAAUUCGGAUUAACACCGCAUAAAAUCACAGUAUAGCAUUAUACAAUGAUCAAAUAUUUAUAGGAUUAAGAUGGGCAUGCGUGACAUUAGUUAGUUGGCGAGGUAACGGCUCACCAAGACUACGAUGUCUAGGGGAUCUGAGAGGAUGACCCCCACACU